Molecule: long non-coding RNA, 815 nt
Filed under: Cicer arietinum (chickpea)
Lineage: Eukaryota; Viridiplantae; Streptophyta; Magnoliopsida; Fabales; Fabaceae
Description: long non-coding RNA (CARI_LNC000106)
Source: RNAcentral
GACUAUUUAUAAAUGCAAUGAUCUUGUUCAUCAUGAGAACAUUAUUUCAUUACAAUUGAGAAUGUACUUAUGCACUUGUUGAUUGUUUCUUGUUUGCUCACUUAUGUAAUUCACAUUCCUUAAAUAAAAUUCAAAUGCAAUCAUAAGUAGAUCACCAUUCAUAAAACUUAAUAAUUUAUUUAAUAAGAUUUGUUGUCAAUGAAACAUCUAUCAAAACAGUUUUUACCUUAACAAAAAGUCUUACCCUCGUGAUCUUUUGACCUUGCAAUGGAGACUUCAAUAAAGGACACUCCAAUGAGUGAGAGGUUGUGACAAUUAGGAGCGAAACCAUGACAUAAUGGUGCACGACCAUGACAUCGGCAUGGGGAGGAUGCCAUGGUUGUGGCUAGGCAAAGAGAUCUCAGAUGAGGAGACAAGUCAUCCUUGAGGUAAAAACAAUGGUUAUUGAAGACAAAUCAAAGCUCUUAUGAUGAUUAUGACCAUGGAGCACGAGGAACCCAAAAGGCCAUAAAUGUUGUUGGUGGAGGAGUUAUGGAACAAUAGGUGGGUGGAGCAGUGAGGUGUGGGAGUGGUGAUAAUGCAGCAGUUCUAUAAUCUCGAAGGUUAGGAGGAGAUGGGUAACACAAGACAAACCGGGAGAGAAAACCUCAAUAAGGGAGUGCCAAGAGAUUUAUAUAAUUGGAGGGAAAUGGCCUACUAGGUCAGGGCAGUCCGCGGAGGAAAAAGGGAAAAGGUAGCUCAUCGCCUCUCCCUAAAAUUAGGAUUCACAACAUUUUGAAUUGGGUGUUGUUGAAAGGUUGAAUAGCGGAUUGAAU